GACGAACGCUGGCGGCGUGCUUAACACAUGCAAGUCGAACGGAAAGGCCCCCUCGGGGGUCCUCGAGUGGCGAACAGGUGAGUAACACGUGAGUAACCUGCCCUUGACUUCGGGAUAACUUCAGGAAACUGGGGCUAAUACCGGAUAGGAAUCCUUGCUGCAUGGUGGGGGUUGGAAAGCUUCGGCGGUUUUGGAUGGACUCGCGGCUUAUCAGCUUGUUGGUGGGGUAGUGGCUUACCAAGGCUUUGACGGGUAGCCGGCCUGAGAGGGCGACCGGCCACAUUGGGACUGAGAUACGGCCCAGACUCCUACGGGAGGCAGCAGUGGGGAAUAUUGCACAAUGGGCGGAAGCCUGAUGCAGCAACGCCGCGUGCGGGAAGACGGCCUUCGGGUUGUAAACCGCUUUCAGCAGGGGCGAAGCUUGUGGUGACGGUACCUGCAGAAGAAGCACCGGCUAACUACGUG
RNAcentral lists this ribosomal RNA (465 nucleotides) under uncultured bacterium. RNAcentral describes it as "partial 16S ribosomal RNA". It matches the Rfam family "Bacterial small subunit ribosomal RNA", at positions 28 to 507 of the family's 1533-position model. The record is from RNAcentral.